Molecule: long non-coding RNA, 1105 nt
Filed under: Mus musculus (house mouse)
Lineage: Eukaryota; Metazoa; Chordata; Mammalia; Rodentia; Muridae
Description: long non-coding RNA chr18:10747860-10748965
Source: RNAcentral
UUUUUUUUUUUUUUUUAAGUAUAGAGUUGAUAAUUAAAUGUGAUUAUCUUGUGGCAAUCCCAGCACUCCAGAGCUAGAGGCAGGAGGAUCUCAAGUUCAAGGUCAGCUUGGGCACAUAAUGAGACUGUGUCAAAAUUUUAAAAACAAGGUCAAGGCAAGUGAUAAACUCUGCCUCCGGAGUGCUGGUGUUAAAAGUGUGCACCAUCAUUACCCAACUACCAAAUGCUUUGUUAAUGUUAAAUUUUAUCAUUGGAUACAGGGUCAGUUCAUUUCCUUUCCUAUUGCAUAUUCAUGACACUCAUGUCUCUCCAUGCUUUCAAAUUGUGAGGGUUUUUUUGUUUGUUUGUUUUGUUUUAUUUUGUUUUAAGAUUCCAACUAGCUAUGCUUUGUUUACUAUGAAGAUGUAUAUGCUGUGUGGGUUCAGGCAGUUAAAUGAAGAACAUAUACAGGUUGAUGGCUUAUGUGGUUAAUAGUAUUAUUUAAGGAGUUGUCUUUUGAGGGUUACCUUUCCCUCUCCAUGCUGCAAGCAGGGUAGCAGCCAGUAUGCUUGUAUGUUUUUGUGUAUUAUGGAUAUAUUUCCUUAGGAUAGAUACCUAGAGGUAGAAUUACUGAGUCAAACUAUGACGUUAAAAUAAUCCCAGCCUUUGUCUGGGUCUGGGACUGAGCAACGUUACAUUGUUAGUGGCAGGAUGGGCUGUUACAGAGCUGGGUUCUGUGUGUAUGUGCCAGUUACCUGCUGUUACCUGCUGUUUACACCAGCUGCUUUCAGACUAGUUUUUUUUUUUAAACUUUUGUUUGUUUGUGUUUUCUUUAAUUCACUUCAAAGCUUUCAUAAGUAACUCCCAAGAAUGCCUUAAUGCCCACAUUUCUUGUAGCACAUAAUCAUAGGUGUCUUCUCAUUCGGGUACUUAAGUAAGAAUAUGUUUUUUUAUAGAAAUAAGUGGGAAGGCACUUAAUUAGCCAGAUAAAUGGGGAAGUUACCUGUGAAGGAUGAAAGGUUGGGUUUGGUUCCAUUCUUCUCUGCUUCUGCAGGCUGCUUGGCUUUACAUAAUUUCCCUUCUUUCUUGUAUUUGCUUUAUCGCUGUAAUAAACGUGUGAAAGGAUC